Molecule: ribosomal RNA, 478 nt
Filed under: uncultured bacterium
Lineage: Bacteria
Description: partial 16S ribosomal RNA
Rfam family: Bacterial small subunit ribosomal RNA
Source: RNAcentral
GAUGAACGCUGGCGGCGUGCUUAACACAUGCAAGUCGAACGGGAAAUAUUUCAUUGAGACUUCGGUGGAUUUGAUUUAUUUCUAGUGGCGGACGGGUGAGUAACGCGUGGGUAACCUGCCUUAUACAGGGGGAUAACAGUCAGAAAUGGCUGCUAAUACCGCAUAAGCGCACAGAGCUGCAUGGCUCAGUGUGAAAAACUCCGGUGGUAUAAGAUGGACCCGCGUUGGAUUAGCUAGUUGGGGGGGUAACGGCCCACCAAGGCGACGAUCCAUAGCCGGCCUGAGAGGGUGAACGGCCACAUUGGGACUGAGACACGGCCCAGACUCCUACGGGAGGCAGCAGUGGGGAAUAUUGCACAAUGGGGGAAACCCUGAUGCAGCGACGCCGCGUGAAGGAAGAAGUAUCUCGGUAUGUAAACUUCUAUCAGCAGGGAAGAUAGUGACGGUACCUGACUAAGAAGCCCCGGCUAACUACGUG